AAAUUGAAGAGUUUGAUCAUGGCUCAGAUUGAACGCUGGCGGCAGGCCUAACACAUGCAAGUCGAGCGGUAGCACAGAGAGCUUGCUCUCGGGUGACGAGCGGCGGACGGGUGAGUAAUGUCUGGGAAACUGCCUGAUGGAGGGGGAUAACUACUGGAAACGGUAGCUAAUACCGCAUAAUGUCGCAAGACCAAAGUGGGGGACCUUCGGGCCUCAUGCCAUCAGAUGUGCCCAGAUGGGAUUAGCUAGUAGGUGGGGUAACGGCUCACCUAGGCGACGAUCCCUAGCUGGUCUGAGAGGAUGACCAGCCACACUGGAACUGAGACACGGUCCAGACUCCUACGGGAGGCAGCAGUGGGGAAUAUUGCACAAUGGGCGCAAGCCUGAUGCAGCCAUGCCGCGUGUGUGAAGAAGGCCUUCGGGUUGUAAAGCACUUUCAGCGGGGAGGAAGGCGAUAAGGUUAAUAACCUCAUCGAUUGACGUUACCCGCAGAAGAAGCACCGGCUAACUCCGUGCCAGCAGCCGCGGUAAUACGGAGGGUGCAAGCGUUAAUCGGAAUUACUGGGCGUAAAGCGCACGCAGGCGGUCUGUCAAGUCGGAUGUGAAAUCCCCGGGCUCAACCUGGGAACUGCAUUCGAAACUGGCAGGCUAGAGUCUUGUAGAGGGGGGUAGAAUUCCAGGUGUAGCGGUGAAAUGCGUAGAGAUCUGGAGGAAUACCGGUGGCGAAGGCGGCCCCCUGGACAAAGACUGACGCUCAGGUGCGAAAGCGUGGGGAGCAAACAGGAUUAGAUACCCUGGUAGUCCACGCCGUAAACGAUGUCGAUUUGGAGGUUGUGCCCUUGAGGCGUGGCUUCCGGAGCUAACGCGUUAAAUCGACCGCCUGGGGAGUACGGCCGCAAGGUUAAAACUCAAAUGAAUUGACGGGGGCCCGCACAAGCGGUGGAGCAUGUGGUUUAAUUCGAUGCAACGCGAAGAACCUUACCUGGUCUUGACAUCCACAGAACUUUCCAGAGAUGGAUUGGUGCCUUCGGGAACUGUGAGACAGGUGCUGCAUGGCUGUCGUCAGCUCGUGUUGUGAAAUGUUGGGUUAAGUCCCGCAACGAGCGCAACCCUUAUCCUUUGUUGCCAGCGGUUAGGCCGGGAACUCAAAGGAGACUGCCAGUGAUAAACUGGAGGAAGGUGGGGAUGACGUCAAGUCAUCAUGGCCCUUACGACCAGGGCUACACACGUGCUACAAUGGCAUAUACAAAGAGAAGCGACCUCGCGAGAGCAAGCGGACCUCAUAAAGUAUGUCGUAGUCCGGAUUGGAGUCUGCAACUCGACUCCAUGAAGUCGGAAUCGCUAGUAAUCGUAGAUCAGAAUGCUACGGUGAAUACGUUCCCGGGCCUUGUACACACCGCCCGUCACACCAUGGGAGUGGGUUGCAAAAGAAGUAGGUAGCUUAACCUUCGGGAGGGCGCUUACCACUUUGUGAUUCAUGACUGGGGUGAAGUCGUAACAAGGUAACCGUAGGGGAACCUGCGGUUGGAUCACCUCCUUA
Molecule: ribosomal RNA, 1540 nt
Filed under: Klebsiella pneumoniae
Lineage: Bacteria; Pseudomonadati; Pseudomonadota; Gammaproteobacteria; Enterobacterales; Enterobacteriaceae
Description: bacterial SSU rRNA
Rfam family: Bacterial small subunit ribosomal RNA
Source: RNAcentral